AGAGAUUAUUGGGCCUAAGCAUCCGUAGCCGGCUCUGUAAGUUCCUCGGUUAAAUCUGUACGCUUAACGUACAGGCUGCCGGGAAUACUGCAUAGCUAGGGAGUGGGAGAGGUAGACGGUACUCGGUAGGAAGGGGUAAAAUCCUUUGAUCUAUUGAUGACCACCUGUGGCGAAGGCGGUCUACCAGAACACGUCCGACGGUGAGGGAUGAAAGCUGGGGGAGCAAACCGGAUUAUAUACCCGGGUAGUCCCAGCUGUAAACUAUGCAAACUCAGUGAUGCAUUGGCUUGUGGCCAAUGCAGUGCUGCAGGGAAGCCGUUAAGUUUGCCGCCUGGGAAGUACGUACKCAMGUAUGAAACUUAAAGGARUUGGCGGGGGACCACA
RNAcentral lists this ribosomal RNA (384 nucleotides) under uncultured archaeon. Its description in RNAcentral is "bacterial SSU rRNA". It matches the Rfam family "Archaeal small subunit ribosomal RNA", at positions 496 to 880 of the family's 1478-position model. The record is from RNAcentral.